GACGGGUAUCCGGCCUGAGAGGGUGAACGGACACACUGGAACUGAGACACGGUCCAGACUCCUACGGGWGGCAGCAGUAGGGAAUAUUGCUCAAUGGGGGAAACCCUGAAGCAGCAACGCCGCGUGGAGGAUGAAGGUUUUAGGAUUGUAAACUCCUUUUGUUAGAGAAGAUUAUGACGGUAUCUAACGAAUAAGCACCGGCUAACUCCGUGCCAGCAGCCGCGGUAAUACGGAGGGUGCAAGCGUUACUCGGAAUCACUGGGCGUAAAGAGUGCGCAGGCGGGAUAGCAAGUCAGAUGUGAAAUGCUAUGGCUUAACCAUAGAACUGCGUUUGAAACUGUUAUUCUG
RNAcentral lists this ribosomal RNA (348 nucleotides) under uncultured Helicobacter sp. RNAcentral's name for it is "bacterial SSU rRNA". It matches the Rfam family "Bacterial small subunit ribosomal RNA", at positions 278 to 643 of the family's 1533-position model. Lineage: Bacteria; Pseudomonadati; Campylobacterota; Epsilonproteobacteria; Campylobacterales; Helicobacteraceae. The record is from RNAcentral.